UUGACGGGGACCCGCACAAGUAGCGGAGCAUGUGGUUUAAUUCGAAGCAACGCGAAGAACCUUACCUAAGCUUGACAUCCUUUUGACCUCUCCCUAAUCGGAGAUUUCCCUUCGGGGACAAAAGUGACAGGUGGUGCAUGGUUGUCGUCAGCUCGUGUCGUGAGAUGUUGGGUUAAGUCCCGCAACGAGCGCAACCCUUGCCUUUAGUUGCCAGCAUUAAGUUGGGCACUCUAGAGGGACUGCCAGGGAUAACCUGGAGGAAGGUGGGGAUGACGUCAAAUCAUCAUGCCCCUUAUGCUUAGGGCUACACACGUGCUACAAUGGGUGGUACAGAGGGCAGCCAAGUCGUGAGGCGGAGCUAAUCCCUUAAAGCCAUUCUCAGUUCGGAUUGUAGGCUGAAACUCGCCUACAUGAAGCUGGAGUUACUAGUAAUCGCAGAUCAGAAUGCUGCGGUGAAUGCGUUCCCGGGUCUUGUACACACCGCCCGUCACACCACGGAAGUUGGGGGCGCCCGAAGCCAGAUAGCUAACCUUUUGGAAGCGUCUGUCGAAGGUGGAAUCAAUAACUGGGGUGAAGUCGUAACAAGG
Molecule: ribosomal RNA, 587 nt
Filed under: uncultured Clostridium a10r
Lineage: Bacteria; Bacillati; Bacillota; Clostridia; Eubacteriales; Clostridiaceae
Description: bacterial SSU rRNA
Rfam family: Bacterial small subunit ribosomal RNA
Source: RNAcentral